RNAcentral lists this ribosomal RNA (301 nucleotides) under uncultured bacterium. RNAcentral's name for it is "partial 16S ribosomal RNA". It matches the Rfam family "Bacterial small subunit ribosomal RNA", at positions 509 to 807 of the family's 1533-position model. The record is from RNAcentral.
CAGCCGCCGCGGUAAUACGUAGGGUGCAAGCGUUAAUCGGAAUUACAGGGCGUAAAGCGUGCGCAGGCGGUUUGUUAAGACAGAUGUGAAAUCCCCGGGCUCAACCUGGGAACUGCAUUUGUGACUGGCAAGCUAGAGUGUGGCAGAGGGGGGUGGAAUUCCACGUGUAGCAGUGAAAUGCGUAGAGAUGUGGAGGAACACCGAUGGCGAAGGCAGCCCCCUGGGCCAAUACUGACGCUCAUGCACGAAAGCGUGGGGAGCAAACAGGAUUAGAUACCCCAGUAGUCCCUGUCUCUUAUAC